GUUAAACAUUUGGCUAAUGCAUUGAAGAAUACAUUGAAAGAGACAGGUCAGGAAGUGGUUAGAUUAGCUCAAAGACUAAGAAUAGCAACACUUAUUCAGAAAAAUCCUUAGUCAUUGACAACAGUUCACAAAUAGGUAAUGGAAAAAGUUGUAGUGCGGGCUAUCUGCAUGUCUUGUGAGGGACUGUCUUGUGACUUUUGAGUGUAUGAGGAAUGCAGCUCUGAGUCAGCACAGAGGAACGCCGGUGAAAGCCAAUACGAGACAGAGGAUGGAUUAUAUGAGGAGGGAAAGUGCCAUGCAAUCCGUCUCCUUCUCCAGGUUUUAGAAUGGGACGUAGCCUGGAACAACAGUGCCCCCUGGUGGACCUGCUGCAGCAGACAGGGCCUGGAGUCUGCAGCCGCAAUUUGAACUGCCCGACCUAUGCAGUGCCACAGCUCCCCCUACAGGCCAAAGAACAAAAGACAACAACAACAAAAAAAAUUCUUUUUAUUUGACUUAGAAAACGUUACUCCUGAUCAAAAGGGGAAACGGUGCAAUCAUCAGGUGAUGCACAGACAUAAAUGCACAUAGAAAGUAUACAAAAGAUAAAAAGAUAAAAAAA
Long non-coding RNA from Oreochromis aureus, 601 nucleotides. RefSeq lists it as uncharacterized. NCBI's taxonomy places the organism in Eukaryota, Metazoa, Chordata, Actinopteri, Cichliformes, Cichlidae. The transcript is spliced from 5 exons. The record is from RefSeq and is a predicted model, not a curated record.